CUUUCUCACCCGGGGGGUCCCGACAAGGGGCUGAGAAACUGAUGGUGCGGCAACGCAUAGCGCAGUGACCCGACGAACCUGAUCCAGUUCAUACUGGCGUAGGGAUGGUGUUCGGCUGUGCGG
Molecule: regulatory RNA element, 123 nt
Organism: Dinoroseobacter shibae
Lineage: Bacteria; Pseudomonadati; Pseudomonadota; Alphaproteobacteria; Rhodobacterales; Roseobacteraceae
Rfam family: TPP riboswitch aptamer (THI element)
About the family: Vitamin B(1) in its active form thiamin pyrophosphate (TPP) is an essential coenzyme that is synthesised by coupling of pyrimidine and thiazole moieties in bacteria.
Source: Rfam